CCUGACCAAAAUAAUAAGACAAGGGCGUGACAAAGACCUGGUGUGCCUCUGCUACUCUAUCGUAGCCUCUUUCGAACAGUUACUCCCCCUGUACACGCUCUCUCUCCCUCUCUGUUUGAUUGUGUGGUUGGAGUCUGGUGUGCUGGAGUCAGAGCAGAUCCCUACCAGCUGCAACUUGUUCCAUAAUCAAGAACUCUACAAAUCCUCAGUCCUGCCACUUCCACUCUGCCAAAUUUUACCGCUCUCUCUCUGGCUCUGGUCUCCUGUUCCACAUCUCACCACCCAACUACCUUGCUCUGGAUUUUACUCACCACCACUACCAUGGAUUCCCCUCAGGACAUGUUUACCCUGUUCUACUCAGCUAACUCCAACCUCAGUCUCCACAUCACUUUUUUCCUGCAACUCAUUCAAGCUUCAUAUCGCCUUGUGUAACAAUACAUAUUGUUCACGGGUUUCCUCAUCUGAGUCUGCUCUUGGGUUCCCCUGUGUCGCUCCGCUUAACAGCUACAGGGAUUCCCUUUCAUGCUACAUUCGGUUUAGGAUCUCCAUAUUGUAGCUUACGGAGAACUAAACUGAUGCAAAAUUACAAAAGCAAAAGCAAAAUUACAACUAUCUACUUUGGUUUAGAUACAAUAAAUUGACAUUUUUGUUUAUAAGCCCUUGAUUCCUAAUCCCUUGAUCUUCUUUUUGAAUCAGAUUUUAAUAGCUAGCAUUUUGCUGGCCAUAAAAAAUAUUUGGAGACAGUGGACAGCCUUGUUUUACUCCUCUUGACAGUUCAAUACUUUCU
Molecule: long non-coding RNA, 787 nt
Organism: Oncorhynchus kisutch (coho salmon)
Lineage: Eukaryota; Metazoa; Chordata; Actinopteri; Salmoniformes; Salmonidae
Exons: 3
Source: RefSeq, a predicted model, not a curated record